CCUACGGGAGGCUGCAGUGGGGAAUAUUGGACAAUGGGGGCAACCCUGAUCCAGCCAUGCCGCGUGUGUGAAGAAGGCCCUCGGGUUGUAAAGCACUUUCAGUGAGGAAGAACGCCUGGUGGUUAAUACCCAUCAGGAAAGACAUCACUCACAGAAGAAGCACCGGCUAACUCCGUGCCAGCAGCCGCGGUAAUACGGAGGGUGCGAGCGGUAAUCGGAAUUACUGGGCGUAAAGCGCGCGUAGGUGGCUUGAUAAGCCGGUUGUGAAAGCCCCGGGCUCAACCUGGGAACGGCAUCCGGAACUGUCAAGCUAGAGUGCAGGAGAGGAAGGUAGAAUUCCCGGUGUAGCGGUGAAAUGCGUAGAGAUCGGGAGGAAUACCAGUGGCGAAGGCGGCCUUCUGGACUGACACUGACACUGAGGUGCGAAAGCGUGGGUAGCAAACAGGAUUAGAUACCCUGGUAGUC
Molecule: ribosomal RNA, 465 nt
Filed under: Vreelandella stevensii
Lineage: Bacteria; Pseudomonadati; Pseudomonadota; Gammaproteobacteria; Oceanospirillales; Halomonadaceae
Description: partial 16S ribosomal RNA
Rfam family: Bacterial small subunit ribosomal RNA
Source: RNAcentral